GACGAACGCUGGCGGCGUGCUUAACACAUGCAAGUCGAGCGGUAAGGCCCUUUCGGGGGUACACGAGCGGCGAACGGGUGAGUAACACGUGGGUGACCUGCCCUUAGCUCUGGGAUAAGCCUGGGAAACUGGGUCUAAUACCGGAUAUGACCUCAUGACUCAUGUUGUGGGGUGGAAAGCCUUGUGCGGCUAGGGAUGGGCCCGCGGUCUAUCAGCUUGUUGGUGGGGUAAUUGCCUACCAAGGCGACGACGGGUAGCCGGCCUGAGAGGGCGACCGGCCACACUGGGACUGAGACACGGCCCAGACUCCUACGGGAGGCAGCGAGUGGGGAAUCUUGCGCAAUGGGCGAAAGCCUGACGCAGCGACGCCGCGUGAGGGAUGACGGCCU
RNAcentral lists this ribosomal RNA (389 nucleotides) under uncultured bacterium. Its description in RNAcentral is "bacterial SSU rRNA". It matches the Rfam family "Bacterial small subunit ribosomal RNA", at positions 28 to 417 of the family's 1533-position model. The record is from RNAcentral.